UUGGACCUCUCUCAUUUGAGCCCACAAAACCACAAAAAUCAGGUUAUAAAUUCAGAGUUUCAGUGAAACAAAAUUCCAUUCUAUUCCUAUUACCCUGUCUGGGAAAAAGAUAGUGAGAGAAGAACCCUGGGGAAAAAGGAAGAGAAGCAAAAAUACUCUGAGGUUUCCUUGAAACAAAACCCUUGACAAAACCUGGAGAGAAA
RNAcentral lists this long non-coding RNA (203 nucleotides) under Lathyrus oleraceus (garden pea). Its description in RNAcentral is "Pisum sativum (pea) long non-coding RNA (PSAT_LNC014831)". The record is from RNAcentral. Lineage: Eukaryota; Viridiplantae; Streptophyta; Magnoliopsida; Fabales; Fabaceae.